Molecule: non-coding RNA, 185 nt
Filed under: filamentous cyanobacterium CCP5
Lineage: Bacteria; Bacillati; Cyanobacteriota
Description: 6S / SsrS RNA
Rfam family: 6S / SsrS RNA
About the family: E. coli 6S RNA was the first non coding RNA to be sequenced, but its function was unknown until recently. It consists of 184 nucleotides that fold into an extended hairpin structure with a large single-stranded internal bulge. The 6S RNA specifically associates with RNA polymerase holoenzyme containing the sigma70 specificity factor.
Source: Rfam by way of RNAcentral
AGUUCACUGCGGCGUUGGUGACUGCCAACUAAUGUUUCUCGAUCUAUGCUUGUUCGACAAGGGAAUCUAGAUGUUUCGAUGGCAGUAUACCGAGCAUUGCACUCGGAAACUUAAAAUCGAGACCAAGGUACCCACCUGGUUAUACCAGGUCGAAAACUGAGGUAAGACGGCGUUGCGGUGAAUAC